ACGAAAGUCUGACCGAGCAACGCCGCGUGAGUGAAGAAGGUUUUCGGAUCGUAAAGCUCUGUUGUAAGUCAAGAACGUGUGUGAGAGUGGAAAGUUCACACAGUGACGGUAGCUUACCAGAAAGGGACGGCUAACUACGUGCCAGCAGCCGCGGUAAUACGUAGGUCCCGAGCGUUGUCCGGAUUUAUUGGGCGUAAAGGGAGCGCAGGCGGUCAGGAAAGUCUGGAGUAAAAGGCUAUGGCUCAACCAUAGUGUGCUCUGGAAACUGUCUGACUUGAGUGCAGAAGGGGAGAGUGGAAUUCCAUGUGUAGCGGUGAAAUGCGUAAGAUAUAUGGAGGAACACCAGUGGCGAAAGCGGCUCUCUGGUCUGUCACUGACGCUGAGGCUCGAAAGCGUGGGUAGCGAACAGGAUUAGAUACCCUGGUAGUCCACGCCGUAAACGAUGAGUGCUAGGUGUUAGGCCCUUUCCGGGGCUUAGUGCCGGA
This 485-nucleotide ribosomal RNA is filed under the name Streptococcus mutans. RNAcentral describes it as "bacterial SSU rRNA". It matches the Rfam family "Bacterial small subunit ribosomal RNA", at positions 375 to 850 of the family's 1533-position model. The record is from RNAcentral. Lineage: Bacteria; Bacillati; Bacillota; Bacilli; Lactobacillales; Streptococcaceae.